GACUACAGGGGUAUCUAAUCCUGUUUGCUCCCCACGCUUUCGUGCAUGAGCGUCAGUACAGGUCCAGGGGACUGCCUUCGCCAUCGGUGUUCCUCCGCAUAUCUACGCAUUUCACUGCUACACGCGGAAUUCCAUCCCCCUCUACCGUACUCUAGCUGUGCAGUCACAAAUGCCAUUCCCAGGUUGAGCCCGGGGAUUUCACAUCUGUCUUACACAACCGCCUGCGCACGCUUUACGCCCAGUAAUUCCGAUUAACGCUCGCACCCUACGUAUUACCGCGGCUGCUGGCACGUAGUUAGCCGGUGCUUAUUCUUCAGGUACCGUCAUCACCCCAGAGUAUUAGUCCAGAGUAUUUCUUCCCCGACAAAAGCGGUUUACAACCCGAAGGCCUUCUUCCCGCACGCGGCAUGGCUGGAUCAGGCUUGCGCCCAUUGUCCAAAAUUCCCCACUGCAGCCGCCCGUAGG
Molecule: ribosomal RNA, 465 nt
Filed under: uncultured Burkholderiales bacterium
Lineage: Bacteria; Pseudomonadati; Pseudomonadota; Betaproteobacteria; Burkholderiales
Description: partial 16S ribosomal RNA
Source: RNAcentral